UGGAUGGUCUAAUUUGAUUAGUGAUG
This 26-nucleotide non-coding RNA is filed under the name Homo sapiens (human). The record is from RNAcentral. Lineage: Eukaryota; Metazoa; Chordata; Mammalia; Primates; Hominidae.